This 62-nucleotide microRNA precursor is filed under the name Eisenia fetida (common brandling worm). Its description in RNAcentral is "Efe-Mir-2685-P1b_pre stem-loop". The record is from RNAcentral. Lineage: Eukaryota; Metazoa; Annelida; Clitellata; Crassiclitellata; Lumbricidae.
GUGUCGCCCGAUCCGAGUUAUGCAGUGACUGGAAUUGCUCAUAACUCAGUCAGACCACACCA